GCUACUGCUAUCGGGGUUCGAUUAAGCCAUGCGAGUUAAAUGUUCUUCGUGAACAUAGCGAACUGCUCAGUAACACGUGGAUAACCUACCCUUAGGACCGGAAUAACCCCGGGAAACUGGGGAUAAUACCGGAUAAGCCAUAGGCGCUGGAAUGCCCUAUGGUUCAAAGCUCCGGCGCCUAAGGAUGGAUCUGCGGUCUAUCAGGUUGUAGUGGGUGUAACGUACCUACUAGCCGACGACGGAUACGGGUUGUGAGAGCAAGAGCCCGGAGAUGGAUUCUGAGACACGAAUCCAGGCCCUACGGGGUGCAGCAGGCGCGAACACUUUACAAUGCGGGAAACCGCGAUAAGGGAACCCCGAGUGCCAGCAUCAAAUGUUGGCUGUCCAGAUGAUUAAAAAUCAUUUGUUAGCAAGGGCCGGGCAAGACCGGUGCCAGCCGCCGCGGUAACACCGGCGGCCCGAGUGGUAGCCGUUUUUAUUGGGUCUAAAGGGUCCGUAGCCGGCCUGAUAAGUCCUUUGGGAAAUCUGGCAGCUUAACUGUCAGGCUUCUAAGGGAUACUGUCAGGCUUGGGACCGGAAGAGGUAAGGGGUACUCCAGGGGUAGGAGUGAAAUCUUGUAAUCCCUGGGGGACCAUCUGUGGCGAAGGCGCCUUACCAGAACGGGUCCGACGGUGAGGGACGAAAGCUAGGGGAGCAAACCGGAUUAGAUACCCGGGUAGUCCUAGCUGUAAACGAUGCUCGCUAGGUGUCAGACACGGUGCGACCGUGUUUGGUGCCGCAGGGAAGCCGUUAAGCGAGCCACCUGGGAAGUACGGUCGCAAGGCUGUAACUUAAAGGAAUUGGCGGGGGAGCACUACAACGGGUGGAGCCUGCGGUUUAAUUGGAUUCAACGCC
Molecule: ribosomal RNA, 894 nt
Filed under: uncultured archaeon
Lineage: Archaea
Description: bacterial SSU rRNA
Rfam family: Archaeal small subunit ribosomal RNA
Source: RNAcentral